AAUAAAUGUAGUUUUGCAUACUGUUUAUGUUCAACGUUUAACCGUCCGUCUUAUUUGAAAAACUUUUAUGAUUAGUAUUUUUAUUGUGUUUAGAUGAUAAAACAUGAAUAGUAGUUUAUGUGUGACUAUUUUUUUUAAUUUUUUCAUAAACUUUUUAAAUAAGACAGACGGUCAAACGUUGAACACGGAUACCUACGGCCGUACUAUGU
RNAcentral lists this microRNA precursor (209 nucleotides) under Oryza rufipogon (brownbeard rice). Its description in RNAcentral is "MIR812 microRNA precursor family". It matches the Rfam family "MIR812 microRNA precursor family". Lineage: Eukaryota; Viridiplantae; Streptophyta; Magnoliopsida; Poales; Poaceae. The record is from Rfam by way of RNAcentral.